RNAcentral lists this long non-coding RNA (721 nucleotides) under Mus musculus (house mouse). Its description in RNAcentral is "RIKEN cDNA 4930527F14 gene". Lineage: Eukaryota; Metazoa; Chordata; Mammalia; Rodentia; Muridae. The record is from RNAcentral.
GGCGGCGCCUGCAGCGGGGUCCCCGGGGUUCAUGCGUGAGAAGCUGCCUCGGGAAGUUCCCAGGCCCCGGGACGUGUGCGGGGAACCCGGGCGCGAAGGCACCGCGCCGGGGAGCUAGGAAGAGAAGUUGGGAUGCAGAAACUUUACGAUGUCUGCCUUGAACAUCCCACAAAAGCUCUUAUCUGAACCCCCGCUAGAACCUCUAAGACAACUCAAUACUUGUGGGACUUACAUCAUGCCGAAAAGGAGCCGAGAACUCCAGUGUUUGGAAGAACAGCUCAGGCUUUGAAAGCAAUAUCCAAAUAAGACGACCAUGCAGUCACCAUGCCUUUGUUUGUUUGCUCACCUCUGAACCCAGAAUCUGAGCUCCUAGAAGAAAGGCAUCUCCCUCUAUCCCACAGGCACGGCUCUUCAUAGCCACACUCCAACUGAGUACAGUGCCCAGCACAUGGCUAAUACUCCAUAAAUAUUUACUGCAUGAAUAAAAGAUCGAAAGAGGGGACUCCCGAGUCUCUUCUGGACAUGGUGAUCCUUCCCUCACAGCAUGUACUAUGCUCAGCUCCUCCCUCCCUCUUGGGCCAGGUCUGAAGUUCAAAUCCCAGCAACCACAUGGUGGCUCACAACCAUCUGUAACAAGAUCUGACUCCCUCUUCUGGAGUGUCUGAAGACAGCUACAGUGUACUUACAUAUAAUAAAUAAAUAAAUCUUAAAAAAAAAAAAA